This is a non-coding RNA of Cinara cedri, 223 nucleotides long. The record is from the annotation of a GenBank genome assembly. NCBI's taxonomy places the organism in Eukaryota, Metazoa, Arthropoda, Insecta, Hemiptera, Aphididae.
UCACAUUGUACCAAAACAUACAAAGAUUCAGAAAUGACGUUUUACGUGUUUUCCAUUUUUUACUUAUCCACCCUGUACAGCGCAUAGAUUUUCGUUGUUUUUUCGCCUCUAUUUAAUUUCGUUCAAGUUUUAUUUUCGCGAAUAAAAGUAACCCACGUUUUUCUCCAGGGUCGCAUCAAUUCCUAUACAAAAAUUUAUCAAAAACCGUUCGGUAGUUUUCGCG